This 66-nucleotide transfer RNA is filed under the name Chimarra paramonorum. Its description in RNAcentral is "tRNA-Cys". The record is from RNAcentral. Lineage: Eukaryota; Metazoa; Arthropoda; Insecta; Trichoptera; Philopotamidae.
AGCUUUAUAGUCAAUAUAUUUAUAUGAUAUAAAAUUGCAAAUUUUAAGUAGUUUUUACUAAAGCUU